CCGGGGUCGCCCGGUCUGUGGCUAUGUGGGCUCCUGAGGCGUCUGUCGCACGCCCUUUCCUGACUCGCGCCCCGGAGCCACCGUGUUCUCGGCCUGCAGGCGAGGAGAGGGGCUGAGGGGGGCUACGGGGGGCGCCGGCGGCGGGCUCCUGGGGUCCCUGCGACGUGCUGUGUGGGAGUGAGUCCCCGCUGAGCCGGAGCCCCCGCCUUCCCGCCGCGACCCCACGACUGCGGGAAGGAGCGAGCUGAGGCAACCAAGUGUAAAGACAUGUCCCUAUUCAAACGAAGUCAAGUGAAGAAAAACUUCCUAGAGGACAACUCUGCAGGAAGCCAAGUAUGCCAGGAAAGGUGCAGGGGUGGUGAGGGGGCCCUGACUAGCCGCAGGGCUCCAGGAUGAAGACAUAUGUAUCCUGACACCACGUGGAGCACCUUUUGCAGGCCCCUGCAGCUUAAUCAUGUAAGAGAAAUGGGCGCCGGGAGUGCGGACACCUGUGUGGAGCCCCUGUGCCUUAUCAGAGAACCCAUGGCUACCCGCCCGCCUCACUUUUCUCCAGCGGGAAGGAUUAUCUGAAGAUAGCGUCAGUGCUAGCCAGGCGUCCUGUCCAC
This is a long non-coding RNA of Sorex araneus (European shrew), 605 nucleotides long. RefSeq lists it as uncharacterized. The record is from RefSeq and is a predicted model, not a curated record. Lineage: Eukaryota; Metazoa; Chordata; Mammalia; Eulipotyphla; Soricidae. The transcript is spliced from 3 exons.